UAAGGGGCGGGUCUUGGUGGGUUUCCUUCCGCGUAGUGCCGGGUCACUACAAAACCCUACAUAUAUUUUGUCCAGUAGGCAUAAGCCUAUAAUAACAAUGUUAGAGGACAUUAGGGAAAGCCAAAUGGAGAGAUUGCACAAAAAAAAAAAAAAAAAAAAAAAAAAAAAAAAAAAAAAGACUAUAUAGCCAAGAAAGACAUCAAUAUCUGUCCUAGGAUCCAACUCAGAUUAGAAAAAUCCAAGAUUGAUGCAAGGGGAUGGUCAGCAUUCUAGGAUUGUCAUUUCACAUAUGGAGUCAGAGAGGGUGCUUACACAAACCAGGUAUGUUGUCAGCUUGCUUGACAAAACUUGUAGCUGCAAUGCAUGGCAGUUAAGUGGUGUGCCAUGUAAUCAUGCUGUUGCAGCCAUCUGGAAGGCAGUAAAGCAUCCCGAUGGCUGCAAAGACACAUACCUAAAGGCUUAUGAUUUUCCCUUAGAGCCUUUAAAUGGACCUCAACAAUGGCCUGAUUCACCAUAUGCUCCAAUUCAAGCACCCCAAGUGAAAAAAAUUCAACAUAGGCCAACUGCAAAAAGGAAGCCAUCAGUUGGUGAGGUUGAAGGGAUAAAAAUGUCUAGAAAAGGCCAGCCACAAAAGUGCAAUGGGCAGCAGGGGCAUAACAUAAGGAAAUGUCCAAUGCCAUUGAAAGAGCCUCCCCCCUCCCCCCCCCCCCCCCAAAAUAAAAAAAAAAAAUCAAAUAAGCAUACAGCUCAAAAGGACAAGCUUCUGAUGCAGGCCCAAAGAAGAGGAAACAACAACAAAACCAGCACCAACAGGCCUGUCCUAGCACCCAACAAAGUCAACUUAAUCUUCCUAUGCAUAACAGGGGUGUAGGAGUAAACACUUACCCAAAUGCCUACACAAAACAAGCUAUGCAAAUCAAUACAUCUCAAACUACUCAGUCACAAUCCAACAUUGGAUCAAGUACUACAACUGUCUGGAGGUUCAGCUUUUGGAGAAGAUAAUGGAGGCUUCAACUCUGCAUCUGAUUGUAUUUAUACUCCUUGUAUUACUUUCUCCAACGGCUAGUUUUUUGGAUUUGUAUCCGUUUUACAAAAAUUGUACCUAAAUUCCUUCACUUAUUUUUGGUUUGGAUAAGAUUCAAGGACCUGUGUUUUCUAGUUUGACAGCAUUUAUUAAGGGACUAUGUUUUUUAGGAAGGGAUUAUGUUUUAUUUUGCCAAAAAAUAAUGCUAAGAGACUAAGAUUUUCUCAGGUGAGUUAACUUGCCGAAUUCUUAAUUUUAGGUCCCAAAAGGUGAAAAAAAAAAAAAACUCAGGUCCCAAAAGGUGAAAAUCUUAAAAACUUAAACCCCGACUUUGUACUUAACUCCAAAUAUGUUUAGACGAAAUUCUAUUUAUGGCAUCAC
Molecule: long non-coding RNA, 1405 nt
Organism: Chenopodium quinoa (quinoa)
Lineage: Eukaryota; Viridiplantae; Streptophyta; Magnoliopsida; Caryophyllales; Amaranthaceae
Exons: 3
Source: RefSeq, a predicted model, not a curated record